RNAcentral lists this ribosomal RNA (433 nucleotides) under uncultured bacterium. Its description in RNAcentral is "partial 16S ribosomal RNA". It matches the Rfam family "Bacterial small subunit ribosomal RNA", at positions 29 to 507 of the family's 1533-position model. The record is from RNAcentral.
AACGAACGCUGGCGGCAUGCCUAACACAUGCAAGUCGAACGACAGCGCCGGGUUUGGUGUCGCACGGGGUCGCAAACCGGUGGGACCUGCCUUUGGGCUCGGCCAAACUUCCCGAAUAGGGUGCUAAUACCGGAUAUUAUCUCCGGUACAACGUUUUAUCGCCUUUGGAUGGGCGCACGUUGUCUUAGCUAGGUGGUAGGGUAAAAGCCUACCGAGGCGACGUUCCAUAGCUGGUAUGAGAGGAUGGUCUGCAACACUGGGACUGAGACACGGCCCAGAAUCUUACGGGAGGCAGCAGUGGGGAAUAUUGGACAAUGGGCGAGAGACUGAGCCAGCCAUGCCGCGUGAGUGAUGAAGGCCUGAGGGUUGUAAAGCGCUUUUAACCGGGAGGAUAAGGACAGUACCGGAAGAAUAAGCCCCGGCUAACUCCGUG